UCGAGUUAAUCGAAUUAACCCAUGUCCAAAACCAUGUCGUUUUGCGGAAACAAAUAGUAAAACUUAAACACAAGUUGCUCUUUCAUUUCACUCCCAUUUCCCAAAACCAAAAUCGAAUCCUAAACUCUCCCUUAAUAUUCACCUUUAAUAUUGAAAAUAUAAUGUGAGUAAAGUAUUCUUAAUCUCUCAGCUACCGCCCCCUCUCUUUGGACCAAGGCUGCUUGCCCUUCCAGCCGCUCUCUCAAUCUGCAAGAGAUCUUUUCUUAUUUCCAUUUUCUUUCUUGUGAGAUCGAGCGUAGGGUAAGCUGUGAUUUUAUAGCUCCAUCAUCGAUCACCUUCGCUCAUCUCCGGCGAACGUAGUGCACCAACCACCAGGAGCUUGAGAGGAAGGAAAAAAAAAAGAAGACUUGAUAUGUUGAAGGUUGAAGCUAAAUUUGAGUUAUUGUUGUUUGAGCUAAAUAUGUAUUUGUUAUUUGAGUUAUUGUUGUUUGAGCUAAAUAUGCAUUUGUUUUGACAAUUUAUUUUAUUUUAUUUUUUUUUUAAGUUGAUUAGUUCUGUUUUCACCAUCUGAAUGUUCCUUAAGUUAAAUUUGUAUAGCGAAGAAGUUGGGUUGAUUCGGUUAAAGUCAGUUAAUAUU
This is a long non-coding RNA of Jatropha curcas, 637 nucleotides long. RefSeq lists it as uncharacterized. Lineage: Eukaryota; Viridiplantae; Streptophyta; Magnoliopsida; Malpighiales; Euphorbiaceae. The record is from RefSeq and is a predicted model, not a curated record.